This 78-nucleotide small RNA is filed under the name Flavobacterium gillisiae. RNAcentral's name for it is "Flavo-1 RNA". It matches the Rfam family "Flavo-1 RNA". The record is from RNAcentral. RNAcentral also lists the same sequence under 1 other name. Lineage: Bacteria; Pseudomonadati; Bacteroidota; Flavobacteriia; Flavobacteriales; Flavobacteriaceae.
UUUUAGCCCCGAUAGCAGCGGUAUCCUUUACUUGAUUUCUUUAAUCAAGUAAAGAUUUAGCGUAUAGCGGGAUUAGCU